This is a non-coding RNA of Theobroma umbraticum, 276 nucleotides long. NCBI's taxonomy places the organism in Eukaryota, Viridiplantae, Streptophyta, Magnoliopsida, Malvales, Malvaceae. The record is from RefSeq and is a predicted model, not a curated record.
AGAGUUUGGUGGUUUGGCUUAAAAAUCUCAAGAUAAGUAAUCAGUUAUAGUGCUUUGUUCAGCAUCUCGAGGCUGGCAACAACCUAGGUAAUGACAUCUCUAGACUUUCACUCAGAGUUGCUUCACUGCCUAGAGGUCGGUUUGUGUCAACUCGUCAGGCUUGUAAUGAAUAAUAGUACUGGAAAUGUGCUAGCUAGAGCUUAAGGUUAUGUAAUGACUACUACAUAUUAUGUUGAAAUCGUAUGGAAUUAUCAAACCUGGUUAUUAGUUUCUAGA